CCUACGGGUGGCAGCAGUGAGGAAUAUUGGUCAAUGGGCGCGAGCCUGAAGCAGCCAAGUAGCGUGAAGGAUGACUGCCCUAUGGGUUGUAAACUUCUUUUAUAUAGGAAUAAAGUGUGGCACGUGUGACAUUUUGUAUGUACUUUAUGAUUAAGGAUCGGCCAACUCCGUGCCAGCAGCCGCGGUAAUACGGAGUAUCCGAGCGUUAUCCGGAUUUAUUGUGUUUAAAGGGAGCGUAGGUGGUUUGUUAAGUCAGUUGUGAAAUUUUGAGGCUCAACCGUAAAAUUGCAGUUGAUACUGGCAGUCUUGAGUACAGUAGAGGUGGGCGGAAUUCGUGGUGUAGCGGUGAAAUGCUUAGAUAUCACGAAGAACCCCGAUUGCGAAGGCAGCUCACUGGACUGUGACUGACACUGAGGCUCGAAAGUGUGGGUAUCAAACAGGAUUAGAUACCCGUGUAGUC
RNAcentral lists this ribosomal RNA (460 nucleotides) under uncultured bacterium. RNAcentral's name for it is "partial 16S ribosomal RNA". It matches the Rfam family "Bacterial small subunit ribosomal RNA", at positions 338 to 795 of the family's 1533-position model. The record is from RNAcentral.